GCAAACAGGAUUAGAUACCCUGGUAGUCCACGCCCUAAACGAUGUCAACUAGCUGUUGGGGUCUUCGGACCUUGGUAGCGCAGCUAACGCGUGAAGUUGACCGCCUGGGGAGUACGGUCGCAAGAUUAAAACUCAAAGGAAUUGACGGGGACCCGCACAAGCGGUGGAUGAUGUGGAUUAAUUCGAUGCAACGCGAAAAACCUUACCUACCCUUGACAUGUCUGGAAUUCCGAAGAGAUUUGGAAGUGCUCGCAAGAGAACCGGAACACAGGUGCUGCAUGGCUGUCGUCAGCUCGUGUCGUGAGAUGUUGGGUUAAGUCCCGCAACGAGCGCAACCCUUGUCAUUAGUUGCUACGAAAGGGCACUCUAAUGAGACUGCCGGUGACAAACCGGAGGAAGGUGGGGAUGACGUCAAGUCCUCAUGGCCCUUAUGGGUAGGGCUUCACACGUCAUACAAUGGUCGGGACAGAGGGUCGCCAACCCGCGAGGGGGAGCCAAUCCCAGAAACCCGAUCGUAGUCCGGAUCGCAGUCUGCAACUCGACUGCGUGAAGUCGGAAUCGCUAGUAAUCGCGGAUCAGCAUGUCGUGGUGAAUACGUUCCCGGGUCUU
This 609-nucleotide ribosomal RNA is filed under the name Achromobacter insuavis. RNAcentral describes it as "bacterial SSU rRNA". It matches the Rfam family "Bacterial small subunit ribosomal RNA", at positions 768 to 1382 of the family's 1533-position model. Lineage: Bacteria; Pseudomonadati; Pseudomonadota; Betaproteobacteria; Burkholderiales; Alcaligenaceae. The record is from RNAcentral.